GACGAACGCUGGCGGCGUGCUUAACACAUGCAAGUCGAACGGUAAGGCCCUUCGGGGUACACGAGUGGCGAACGGGUGAGUAAUACGUGGGUGAUCUGCCCUGCACUUCGGGAUAAGCCUGGGAAACUGGGUCUAAUACCGGAUAGGACUCCUGGCUUCAUGGUUGGGGGUGGAAAGCUUUUGCGGUGUGGGAUGGGCCCGCGGCCUAUCAGCUUGUUGGUGGGGUAAUGGCCUACCAAGGCGACGACGGGUAGCCGGCCUGGGAGGGUGACCGGUCACACUGGGACUGAGAUACGGCCCAGGCUCCUACGGGAGGCAGCAGUGGGGAAUAUUGCACAAUGGGCGCAAGCCUGAUGCAGCGACGCCGCGUGAGGGAUGACGGCCUUCGGGUUGUAAACCUCUUUCAGCUAUGACGAAGCGCAAGUGACGGUAGUAGCAGAAGAAGGACCGGCCAACUACGUGCCAGCCGCCGCCGUAA
RNAcentral lists this ribosomal RNA (478 nucleotides) under uncultured bacterium. RNAcentral's name for it is "partial 16S ribosomal RNA". It matches the Rfam family "Bacterial small subunit ribosomal RNA", at positions 28 to 523 of the family's 1533-position model. The record is from RNAcentral.